UACGAAGGGGGCUAGCGUUGUUCGGAAUUACUGGGCGUAAAGGGCGCGUAGGUGGCUUUGAUAGUCGGGUGUGAAAUGCCUGGGCUUAACCCAGGAACUGCACUCGAAACUCCAAGGCUUGAGUGUGGGAGAGGUUGGUGGAAUUCCCAGUGUAGAGGUGAAAUUCGUAGAUAUUGGGAAGAACACCGGUGGCGAAGGCGGCCAACUGGACCACAACUGACACUGAGGCGCGAAAGCGUGGGGAGCAAACAGG
RNAcentral lists this ribosomal RNA (253 nucleotides) under uncultured bacterium. Its description in RNAcentral is "partial 16S ribosomal RNA". It matches the Rfam family "Bacterial small subunit ribosomal RNA", at positions 524 to 776 of the family's 1533-position model. The record is from RNAcentral.